RNAcentral lists this ribosomal RNA (493 nucleotides) under Malassezia restricta. RNAcentral describes it as "eukaryotic LSU rRNA". The stretch from base 15 to 141 matches the Rfam family "5.8S ribosomal RNA", at positions 28 to 154 of the family's 154-position model. Lineage: Eukaryota; Fungi; Basidiomycota; Malasseziomycetes; Malasseziales; Malasseziaceae. The record is from RNAcentral.
UGCAUCGAUGAAGAUUGCAUCGAAUGAGAACGCAGCGAAACGCGAUAGGUAAUGUGAAUUGCAGAAUUCCGUGAAUCAUCGAAUCUUUGAACGCACCUUGCGCUCUAUGGCAAUCCGUAGAGCAUGCCUGUUUGAGUGCCAUGAAAUCUCCCACCCCAAGCGGUUUUUAAAUGAAACGGCUUGGCGGAUGGGGUCUGGAUGGGUGCCUCUGCCUGCGCUACCUAGCACAGGCUCGCCCGAAAUGCAUGAGCGCCUUGAGACACUUUGCAUCCGCCUCUCUGUUUGGGAGGAGGCGGCCAAGCAGUGUUUUUCUCCUGGCAUGGCAUGAUACGUCAUUUGCUAUGUCGCCUAAAGGAGGAAUGUUUGGUUGUGUCUGCGUGUGCUUCGAACUUGCCUCUGUGGCACAUCCCAAUUUCACUUCUGGUCUCAAAUCAGGUAGGAUCACCCGCUGAACUUAAGCAUAUCAAUAAUCGGAGGAAAAUAAGCGGAGGAA